This 2783-nucleotide ribosomal RNA is filed under the name Escherichia coli. RNAcentral's name for it is "bacterial LSU rRNA". It matches the Rfam family "Bacterial large subunit ribosomal RNA". The record is from RNAcentral. Lineage: Bacteria; Pseudomonadati; Pseudomonadota; Gammaproteobacteria; Enterobacterales; Enterobacteriaceae.
GGGUUGUGAGGUUAAGCGACUAAGCGUACACGGUGGAUGCCCUGGCAGUCAGAGGCGAUGAAGGACGUGCUAAUCUGCGAUAAGCGUCGGUAAGGUGAUAUGAACCGUUAUAACCGGCGAUUUCCGAAUGGGGAAACCCAGUGUGAUUCGUCACACUAUCAUUAACUGAAUCCAUAGGUUAAUGAGGCGAACCGGGGGAACUGAAACAUCUAAGUACCCCGAGGAAAAGAAAUCAACCGAGAUUCCCCCAGUAGCGGCGAGCGAACGGGGAGCAGCCCAGAGCCUGAAUCAGUGUGUGUGUUAGUGGAAGCGUCUGGAAAGGCGCGCGAUACAGGGUGACAGCCCCGUACACAAAAAUGCACAUACUGUGAGCUCGAUGAGUAGGGCGGGACACGUGGUAUCCUGUCUGAAUAUGGGGGGACCAUCCUCCAAGGCUAAAUACUCCUGACUGACCGAUAGUGAACCAGUACCGUGAGGGAAAGGCGAAAAGAACCCCGGCGAGGGGAGUGAAAAAGAACCUGAAACCGUGUACGUACAAGCAGUGGGAGCACAGAGCAAUCUGUGUGACUGCGUACCUUUUGUAUAAUGGGUCAGCGACUUAUAUUCUGUAGCAAGGUUAACCGAAUAGGGGAGCCGAAGGGAAACCGAGUCUUAACUGGGCGUUAAGUUGCAGGGUAUAGACCCGAAACCCGGUGAUCUAGCCAUGGGCAGGUUGAAGGUUGGGUAACACUAACUGGAGGACCGAACCGACUAAUGUUGAAAAAUUAGCGGAUGACUUGUGGCUGGGGGUGAAAGGCCAAUCAAACCGGGAGAUAGCUGGUUCUCCCCGAAAGCUAUUUAGGUAGCGCCUCGUGAAUUCAUCUCCGGGGGUAGAGCACUGUUUCGGCAAGGGGGUCAUCCCGACUUACCAACCCGAUGCAAACUGCGAAUACCGGAGAAUGUUAUCACGGGAGACACACGGCGGGUGCUAACGUCCGUCGUGAAGAGGGAAACAACCCAGACCGCCAGCUAAGGUCCCAAAGUCAUGGUUAAGUGGGAAACGAUGUGGGAAGGCCCAGACAGCCAGGAUGUUGGCUUAGAAGCAGCCAUCAUUUAAAGAAAGCGUAAUAGCUCACUGGUCGAGUCGGCCUGCGCGGAAGAUGUAACGGGGCUAAACCAUGCACCGAAGCUGCGGCAGCGACGCUGAUGCGUUGUUGGGUAGGGGAGCGUUCUGUAAGCCUGUGAAGGUGUGCUGUGAGGCAUGCUGGAGGUAUCAGAAGUGCGAAUGCUGACAUAAGUAACGAUAAAGCGGGUGAAAAGCCCGCUCGCCGGAAGACCAAGGGUUCCUGUCCAACGUUAAUCGGGGCAGGGUGAGUCGACCCCUAAGGCGAGGCCGAAAGGCGUAGUCGAUGGGAAACAGGUUAAUAUUCCUGUACUUGGUGUUACUGCGAAGGGGGGACGGAGAAGGCUAUGUUGGCCGGGCGACGGUUGUCCCGGUUUAAGCGUGUAGGCUGGUUUUCCAGGCAAAUCCGGAAAAUCAAGGCUGAGGCGUGAUGACGAGGCACUACGGUGCUGAAGCAACAAAUGCCCUGCUUCCAGGAAAAGCCUCUAAGCAUCAGGUAACAUCAAAUCGUACCCCAAACCGACACAGGUGGUCAGGUAGAGAAUACCAAGGCGCUUGAGAGAACUCGGGUGAAGGAACUAGGCAAAAUGGUGCCGUAACUUCGGGAGAAGGCACGCUGAUAUGUAGGUGAAGUCCCUCGCGGAUGGAGCUGAAAUCAGUCGAAGAUACCAGCUGGCUGCAACUGUUUAUUAAAAACACAGCACUGUGCAAACACGAAAGUGGACGUAUACGGUGUGACGCCUGCCCGGUGCCGGAAGGUUAAUUGAUGGGGUUAGCGCAAGCGAAGCUCUUGAUCGAAGCCCCGGUAAACGGCGGCCGUAACUAUAACGGUCCUAAGGUAGCGAAAUUCCUUGUCGGGUAAGUUCCGACCUGCACGAAUGGCGUAAUGAUGGCCAGGCUGUCUCCACCCGAGACUCAGUGAAAUUGAACUCGCUGUGAAGAUGCAGUGUACCCGCGGCAAGACGGAAAGACCCCGUGAACCUUUACUAUAGCUUGACACUGAACAUUGAGCCUUGAUGUGUAGGAUAGGUGGGAGGCUUUGAAGUGUGGACGCCAGUCUGCAUGGAGCCGACCUUGAAAUACCACCCUUUAAUGUUUGAUGUUCUAACGUUGACCCGUAAUCCGGGUUGCGGACAGUGUCUGGUGGGUAGUUUGACUGGGGCGGUCUCCUCCUAAAGAGUAACGGAGGAGCACGAAGGUUGGCUAAUCCUGGUCGGACAUCAGGAGGUUAGUGCAAUGGCAUAAGCCAGCUUGACUGCGAGCGUGACGGCGCGAGCAGGUGCGAAAGCAGGUCAUAGUGAUCCGGUGGUUCUGAAUGGAAGGGCCAUCGCUCAACGGAUAAAAGGUACUCCGGGGAUAACAGGCUGAUACCGCCCAAGAGUUCAUAUCGACGGCGGUGUUUGGCACCUCGAUGUCGGCUCAUCACAUCCUGGGGCUGAAGUAGGUCCCAAGGGUAUGGCUGUUCGCCAUUUAAAGUGGUACGCGAGCUGGGUUUAGAACGUCGUGAGACAGUUCGGUCCCUAUCUGCCGUGGGCGCUGGAGAACUGAGGGGGGCUGCUCCUAGUACGAGAGGACCGGAGUGGACGCAUCACUGGUGUUCGGGUUGUCAUGCCAAUGGCACUGCCCGGUAGCUAAAUGCGGAAGAGAUAAGUGCUGAAAGCAUCUAAGCACGAAACUUGCC